AAAUGAAUACUUCUAUGCUUCUCUAUAUGCUGGCUUGUACUAUGAAUCACAGAAUGAGCCAGAUGAGGGUAAAGUUCAUUUAAUUGCUGCUUGUCAAUCACCUUAUGGAUCAAGGAGUGAUGAUUACAUGGCUGCUCUUUCCAAGGUACAUUGCAAAUGUAGAAAUUGGAACAUCAACUAACAGAAUACACUCAAGUUCCAUGAGACAGGUAAAAUUCUAUUCCAACAUUUUUCGAGAUAUCCCAAUGCUUCAGCAUGAUACAAAUUACACGUCCAUUGAUAAUACCAGACCUUGACACAAUUAUAUGGUGAGCCAUUUUGUAACUGGUCAGUGACAUUUG
RNAcentral lists this unclassified non-coding RNA (341 nucleotides) under Hevea brasiliensis (rubber tree). The record is from RNAcentral. Lineage: Eukaryota; Viridiplantae; Streptophyta; Magnoliopsida; Malpighiales; Euphorbiaceae.